GAUGAACGCUGGCGGCGUGCCUAACACAUGCAAGUCGAGCGGUAACACAGGGAGCUUGCUCCCGGGUGACGAGCGGCGGACGGGUGAGUAAUGUCUGGGAAACUGCCUGAUGGAGGGGGAUAACUACUGGAAACGGUAGCUAAUACCGCAUAACGUCGCAAGACCAAAGAGGGGGACCUUCGGGCCUCUUGCCAUCAGAUGUGCCCAGAUGGGAUUAGCUAGUAGGUGGGGUAACGGCUCACCUAGGCGACGAUCCCUAGCUGGUCUGAGAGGAUGACCAGCCGCACUGGAACUGAGACACGGUCCAGACUCCUACGGGAGGCAGCAGUGGGGAAUAUUGCACAAUGGGCGCAAGCCUGAUGCAGCCAUGCCGCGUGUAUGAAGAAGGCCUUCGGGUUGUAAAGUACUUUCAGCGGGGAGGAAGGUGCUGAGGUUAAUAACCUCAGCAAUUGACGUUACCCGCAGAAGAAGCACCGGCUAACUCCGUGCCAGCCGCCGCGGUAA
Molecule: ribosomal RNA, 504 nt
Filed under: uncultured bacterium
Lineage: Bacteria
Description: partial 16S ribosomal RNA
Rfam family: Bacterial small subunit ribosomal RNA
Source: RNAcentral